Molecule: ribosomal RNA, 490 nt
Filed under: uncultured bacterium
Lineage: Bacteria
Description: partial 16S ribosomal RNA
Rfam family: Bacterial small subunit ribosomal RNA
Source: RNAcentral
AUUGAACGCUGGCGGCAGGCCUAACACAUGCAAGUCGAACGGUAACAGAAAGCAGCUUGCUGCUUUGCUGACGAGUGGCGGACGGGUGAGUAAUGUCUGGGAAACUGCCUGAUGGAGGGGGAUAACUACUGGAAACGGUAGCUAAUACCGCAUAACGUCGCAAGACCAAAGAGGGGGACCUUCGGGCCUCUUGCCAUCGGAUGUGCCCAGAUGGGAUUAGCUAGUAGGUGGGGUAACGGCUGACCUAGGCGACGAUCCCUAGCUGGUCUGAGAGGAUGACCAGCCACACUGGAACUGAGACACGGUCCAGACUCCUACGGGAGGCAGCAGUGGGGAAUAUUGCACAAUGGGCGCAAGCCUGAUGCAGCCAUGCCGCGUGUAUGAAGAAGGCCUUCGGGUUGUAAAGUACUUUCAGCGGGGAGGAAGGGAGUAAAGUUAAUACCUUUGCUCAUUGACGUUACCCGCAGAAGAAGCACCGGCUAACUCCGUG